GGGAAUGUAGCUUAGUGGUAGAGUUCUUGUCUAGCAUGCAGGAAGCCCCAGGUUUGAUUCCUCAGUGCCC
This 70-nucleotide transfer RNA is filed under the name Dipodomys ordii (Ord's kangaroo rat). It matches the Rfam family "tRNA". Rfam says of the family: Transfer RNA (tRNA) molecules are approximately 80 nucleotides in length. Their secondary structure includes four short double-helical elements and three loops (D, anti-codon, and T loops). Lineage: Eukaryota; Metazoa; Chordata; Mammalia; Rodentia; Heteromyidae. The record is from Rfam by way of RNAcentral.